GGGUUGUGAGGUUAAGCGACUAAGCGUACACGGUGGAUGCCCUGGCAGUCAGAGGCGAUGAAGGACGUGCUAAUCUGCGAUAAGCGUCGGUAAGGUGAUAUGAACCGUUAUAACCGGCGAUUUCCGAAUGGGGAAACCCAGUGUGUUUCGACACACUAUCAUUAACUGAAUCCAUAGGUUAAUGAGGCGAACCGGGGGAACUGAAACAUCUAAGUACCCCGAGGAAAAGAAAUCAACCGAGAUUCCCCCAGUAGCGGCGAGCGAACGGGGAGCAGCCCAGAGCCUGAAUCAGUGUGUGUGUUAGUGGAAGCGUCUGGAAAGGCGCGCGAUACAGGGUGACAGCCCCGUACACAAAAAUGCACAUGCUGUGAGCUCGAUGAGUAGGGCGGGACACGUGGUAUCCUGUCUGAAUAUGGGGGGACCAUCCUCCAAGGCUAAAUACUCCUGACUGACCGAUAGUGAACCAGUACCGUGAGGGAAAGGCGAAAAGAACCCCGGCGAGGGGAGUGAAAAAGAACCUGAAACCGUGUACGUACAAGCAGUGGGAGCACGCUUAGGCGUGUGACUGCGUACCUUUUGUAUAAUGGGUCAGCGACUUAUAUUCUGUAGCAAGGUUAACCGAAUAGGGGAGCCGAAGGGAAACCGAGUCUUAACUGGGCGUUAAGUUGCAGGGUAUAGACCCGAAACCCGGUGAUCUAGCCAUGGGCAGGUUGAAGGUUGGGUAACACUAACUGGAGGACCGAACCGACUAAUGUUGAAAAAUUAGCGGAUGACUUGUGGCUGGGGGUGAAAGGCCAAUCAAACCGGGAGAUAGCUGGUUCUCCCCGAAAGCUAUUUAGGUAGCGCCUCGUGAAUUCAUCUCCGGGGGUAGAGCACUGUUUCGGCAAGGGGGUCAUCCCGACUUACCAACCCGAUGCAAACUGCGAAUACCGGAGAAUGUUAUCACGGGAGACACACGGCGGGUGCUAACGUCCGUCGUGAAGAGGGAAACAACCCAGACCGCCAGCUAAGGUCCCAAAGUCAUGGUUAAGUGGGAAACGAUGUGGGAAGGCCCAGACAGCCAGGAUGUUGGCUUAGAAGCAGCCAUCAUUUAAAGAAAGCGUAAUAGCUCACUGGUCGAGUCGGCCUGCGCGGAAGAUGUAACGGGGCUAAACCAUGCACCGAAGCUGCGGCAGCGACGCUGAUGCGUUGUUGGGUA
Molecule: ribosomal RNA, 1198 nt
Filed under: Escherichia coli
Lineage: Bacteria; Pseudomonadati; Pseudomonadota; Gammaproteobacteria; Enterobacterales; Enterobacteriaceae
Description: partial 23S ribosomal RNA
Rfam family: Bacterial large subunit ribosomal RNA
Source: RNAcentral